This 3990-nucleotide long non-coding RNA is filed under the name Macaca mulatta (Rhesus monkey). Its description in RNAcentral is "lncRNA (ENSMMUG00000051378.1)". Lineage: Eukaryota; Metazoa; Chordata; Mammalia; Primates; Cercopithecidae. The record is from RNAcentral.
GUCAUUGUGGGCUCAUUUGGACGCUGAGUAUCUCCACAAGGGCCAGAUUGGAAGCCAACUGCAUGCUGGUUUCUUCGCCACUCAGAGAGUUUCAGGAAACCAGGCUCCUGUUUGGACAUCUCGCCCUUGUCUGGCAUACUUUAUGCAUUGAGCAUCCAGGACACCAGUUUGGCUCAUUUUACUGGAAGAGAAAGAGAGGAACACUCUGGAAAAAGAGGAAAAAGAGUUCAGGAUUGAGUGAUGUUCUGUGGAUGGUGCUCUGAGCGCCAUUUUAUGUAAAAGGUUAUUCGAGGCAAAUGCCAAGAUUCCAGAGGAAGCAGCUGGCUGAGAGGCAAUGGCUGGGACCUGUCCACACUAAGGUCUUCAUCCACCCCCAUCCCCACCAGGCCUCAGCUAUUCAUGAACAUUUUGCCUUGGUUUAUGGUUAUUUAUUCCCCUUCUUCCUGCAGACCAGAGUUUUUAAACUAACUCCUUGCUUUUUUGCAUGUGCACAUGUAGGGUUGCUGCACGUGGGUGGCAUAACUGCAGUGCAGUGGCUCAUGGGGCUUUCCAAGAGGCUGACAACAGCCAUGAAGUAUGAUUUGUUCAAUGAGCAGAAAUGGCGCUGCCCUCUGGGAGUGCCCCCAACCUCUGGGUCCCUCGCUGGUCAGGACUGGCUUGGAUUGUGCCCACGGAAAGACGUGUUUCUUACUGGCUCCUCUCCUCCGGGCUGAGUUUAUGCUGACCAAGCUCCAAUUGUAUUUUGCUUUCUAGCCUGCCUGGGUGGGUAAGAAAGGAGCAGGUUUCUUUUGGGUGGGGAGGAACAUUCCUUUCUUCCUGUGGGGAAGGUGGUAUUUAUGUUUCUCAGAAAAGAACUUCCCGAAGAAUAACAUAUUGCUAUAUGCUUUGGAUGUUUGGGGUGAAAAAAAAAGAACAAUUUAAGCAAUCUAUUUCUACUCUAAAGUGCUGUCAGAAGGGUCAAGAGGGAGUAUAACCUAGGAGAGCCCCUCUUCGGAUUUAGCAUGUGAAGAGAGCAUUGGUGCUGAACUCUGCUUAAAAUCACCUUGGAGCUUUUUUAAAAAAAUACCAAUGCCAAGUUCCACCCCAGACUAAAUAAAUCGGACUCUCUUGGCGAUGAGGUCUGAGUCUUGGUAUUUUUUUAAAGCUCCCCAGUUGAUUUGAAUGCGUGGCCAAAGUUGAGAACCACUGCAGUAGAGUAUUGCAUAGCUUAUAUUAGAGUGUGAGCGAGAUGGACUCUUGAUUAUCUGAGGCUAAGUGAAAAAAAUAAAAUAUCGGUUAUUUACUGAGUGCCUUCUCCUCAUCAGGUGUUCUGUUGGGCACUUACCUUAUAUUAACCCACAAUCCCCACAAUAGCCAGGCAAAGCAGGUUAUAUGUUAUCUCUCCAUCUUACAGAAGAGAAACUGAAGCUUAGAAAGAUGAACUGAUUUGCACAAGGUCACCUAGCUGAAAGUGGUGGAAUUUGAGGUAAGGUCGAUGAGAUUCCAAAGCCACUAAACCCUGUGCUCCUAUAAAGGACCCACUGAGGGGCUGAUGGCGAGAAAGGACCACAGGCUUCGAGGGAUGCUGCGUUUGUGGCUAUGGUCAUGGGACAGUUAAUAAAGAGAAGAAAUAUCAAGGUUCAAAGGACAAAUUCCAAGUGUUCAUCUGCUGUGUGCUUUCCUUGGCCCUUCCCAUGUUUCCUGCUGCUGCUAUUCCCUUUUCUCCUUUCAUUUAGUAUGGCUUCUUCUGGCUUUCCGGAAGAUAAGCUGCACUAGAAUACAGGACAUGUCAAAACCGAAAUCCACUGUCUUUCUGUCCAAGGCAGUUUCUGCCCCUGUGAGCUACAUACUGCAAAGGAGCACCUCUAGUCCUCCAGGCAUGGCGGCCUGGAAUCUAGAGCUCAUCCAUAACCCUUUUCACAUCCUGAUGUCCCCACCCUGUGCUUGACAGAGCUUGGUCUAGAGCCAGCUCCUAAUGAUAUGAAACCCUCCUCCUCUCUCUUGCCUAUUGUCAUUAGUUCUUCUCUCUUUCUUUCUUCUGUUUGAUCAUUUUUUGACAGAAAAGGCAUACUACUUGUUUAAAAACAGGAGUAAAACAUAGUGUAAAUUUCUCUGAGUAUGGCCUUUCACAGAGUUUUGACUUUCAGAAGCACGUUAAUGUACUACAUAUUCAAACAAUAAAAUCAAACUAGCAAUUAGGAGAAAGCAAAAAAGCAUCCCCAAACUAGAAGAUAAUGGAAGCAAACGAACCCCACUGUAUUUCAAAUGAAUAACAACACCACGGUGGAAAAAACCUGAUUGGAAUAACUUAUGAACGUGGUAUUCAAUUCUAUCCAUGCUGUCUUGGACAGGGCGGUGAGAUGAGAAUAACCAAGUCCUGAACUCUUCAUAGUAGGGUUGCUUUUGGGAGAAACCAUUCUGAGACUAUUUUAGGUGUAUUACAGGAUUGAGUAAUGAACAGAUUAGUUCAUAUUGUUGGGAACAAGAGUUGUCAUCGUGGAAUGAGAGGUACAAACCUGUAAGUCAAGAAAUAACCCUGUAGGAACUGAUUGGAAUUAGAGGCAUUGGUGUGGAUUCAGAAUCAUGUGUGUAUGAGUAUUGUGUAUAGAUACAGAUAUAUGCAUAUUUCCCAGCUCUAUCCACUGAAAAGGCCAAGAGGCAAUGAAAGUCCAGCAGCAAUGAGCACAUCUAACACCCAGAUCUUGGUCUCUGGUAUCAUUCCCCAAUAAAGGGAACCAGGGCUCCUUGGAGAAAUGACUGAUCCUCAGGCUGAGGCAAGGAAGGUACAAAAUGAACCUGAAAUAUCUUCUUAUACCAGAAAUAAAGAAAAUGAUAAAAGAAAAAGAUAGAAUGUAUCACUAGGACACAGGAAGCAGCUUGCAAGGAUUCUCACUGGUCAAGUCAGAGAUAAUUUGAGCACUUAAAGACAAUAUGAAUUAUAAACCAUUGAAGAAGAGAGAAGUCAUGAGUCUAUACUGGUAAUAAAUAGACAGGGAAAUCAGUAGAGAAGACAGGACAUCUCUUGCUUAUGGUGGAAUACCAAGUACCUAUUGGUAAAUGUGUAAGAAGUGCUACAGUUGGAAAAGUCAUCAUUUUGCGACUGGCCAUAAUGAAAUUACUUCUGGUAAGAAUCAUCAAUAGAUGCUAUCGUAGUCUGGGUUGUUUUAACAGAAUUACUAUGAACUAGGUAGCUAUGAAACACCAGACAUUUUUUUCUCACAGUUAUGGAGGCUGAGAAGUCCAAGAUCAAGGUGCUGGCAUAUUUGAUGUCUAGCAAGGGCCCUCUUCCUUUAGAUGGAUGCCUUUUUUCACUGUAGCCUCAUAUGGCAGAAGGGGCAAGGCAGCUCUUCAAGCUCUCUUUUGUUAAUGGCACUAAUCCCAGUCAUAAGGGCUCUAUCUUUAUGACCCAACCACUUUCCAAAGGCCCUACCUCUUGGUACCAUGACGUUAGGGAUUAGGUUUCAACAUAUGAAUUUUGGGGGGACACAAACAUUCAGACUAAAGCAGAUGCUAGAUCUAGAAGUUUUGAUGAAGAACAGAUGAUGGGAUGCCUCCACAGUGGCCCUGAAAUGGGGUUGGAAACUAGAGGCACCCAAAACAUAGGUGAUGCCUUGAGUCAGACACCCAACAAACCAUUGCCUCUCAACAUCCAUGUCAUAAAAAACAGCAUAGUUUAGUCCCAAAGUUCUCUUUUUAGAUUUGGUUUUUCAAUGACUUUAAACCUUAAAAUAGAAGUGUACCAAGCAGACACCUCAUUUUUCAGUAUAGAAUUAAGUUCUGCUGAUAACAGAUGGAUACUUUCCACAUUAAUGUUAAAUGUGAGCACGCAUCUCAAGAUAGUGUAAUGCACUCCAGGAACCGACAGUGAUAUAUUAAGAUACUGAUUAGACGUAAAACUGAUACAUCAUUCCUUAUAGUGUACACGAAUAGUACCAGUGCAUAACAGUGUCUUUUGGGACUGAGGUCAUUUAUUUUUUCUCCUGGAUAUAUUGUUUAUAUCAUGUUCUCUCC